CUUUACUGUAGCCUGGAAUUGGGUCCGGGCUUUGCUUGCGCAGGAUAGGUGGGAGGCGAAGAACUUUUCCUUGUGGGGAAAAGCGAGCCAAUGGUGAGAUACCACUCUGGCGAAGCUAGGAUUCUAACCUGAGUCCGUUAACCGGAACAGGAACAAUUUCAGGUGGGCAGUUUGACUGGGGCGGUCGCCUCCUAAAGUGUAACGGAGGCGCGCAAAGGUUCCCUCAGGCUGGUUGGAAAUCAGCCGUAGAGUGUAAAGGUAGAAGGGAGCUUGACUGCGAGAACAACAAUUCGAGCAGGGUGGAAACACGGCCUUAGUGAUCCGACGGUGCCGCGUGGAAGGACCGUCGCUCAACGGAUAAAAGUUA
This 367-nucleotide ribosomal RNA is filed under the name uncultured organism. RNAcentral describes it as "bacterial LSU rRNA". It matches the Rfam family "Bacterial large subunit ribosomal RNA", at positions 2099 to 2465 of the family's 2925-position model. The record is from RNAcentral.